RNAcentral lists this transfer-messenger RNA (387 nucleotides) under Bacteroidales bacterium. RNAcentral's name for it is "partial transfer-messenger RNA". It matches the Rfam family "transfer-messenger RNA". Rfam says of the family: Bacterial tmRNA, also known as 10Sa RNA or SsrA, is named for its dual tRNA and mRNA-like properties. Its role is to liberate the mRNA from a stalled ribosome. Lineage: Bacteria; Pseudomonadati; Bacteroidota; Bacteroidia; Bacteroidales. The record is from RNAcentral.
GGGGCUGACCUGGUUUUGACAGCAAGCCGCGGUGGUAUGUAAGCAUGCAGAGUAGGGUGACGCAUCUCUAUAACUUGUGUCUCACAACAACAACUGGCGAGAAUAACUACGCUCUUGCUGCGUAACCUGCUAAGCAGAUUAUGCUUUAUCCCGGCACAAGGUGCCGGGACGAGACGUUUCCCGGGCGGUGAUGCCCUGUACCAACCCGAUAAGGAAGCGCACGCAAUUCAGGGAUUGCCUGAUGGUCUCUCCAGCCUGACGGUGAAAUAAAAGGAGAUAAGGAGUGAUUCGGAUGUCUGCCACCUGGUCAUUCCCGACAAUCAAGGCAGAAUAAGCAUGUAGAAAGCAUAUGGUCGCCUUGCCUGGACGCGGGUUCGACUCCCGCCA